GAACGAGGAUAUAUCCUUCGGGAUAUAAGCCGAGUGGCGGAAGGGUGAGUAAUGCAUAGACAACCUGCCUUUAGGAUAAGAACAACUCUGUGAAAGCGGAGCUAAUACUUGAUAAUACAAAGAAAAGGAUCUUUUCUUUGUCAAAAAAGGGUAUUUAUACCUUUUACCUAGAGAGGGGUUUAUGUCCUAUCAGCUUGUUGGUGGGGUAACGGCCUACCAAGGCGAAGACGGGUAACCGGCCUUAGAGGGUAGUCGGUCACACUGGAACUGAGACACUGUCCAGACUUCUACGGAAGGCUGCAGUCGAGAAUCUUUCGCAAUGCCCGAAAGGGUGACGAAGCGACGCCGCGUGGAUGAAGAAGGCCUUCGGGUUGUAAAAUCCUGUCAGGAGUUAAGAAAUGUAGGUGCGAUAAUACCGUGCUUAUUUGACAAAGGCUCCAAAGGAAGCCACGGCUAACUCUGUGCCAGCAGCCGCGGUAAUACAGAGGUGGCAAGCGUUGUUCGGAAUUAUUGGGCGUAAAGAGCACGUAGGUGGAUUUGUUAGUCAGAUGUGAAAGCCUUUCGUUCAACGGAAGAAUUGCAUCUGAAACUACAAACCUUGAGUAUAGGAGGGGAGAGUGGAACUUCUGGUGGAGCGGUGAAAUGCGUAGAUAUCAGAAGGAACGCCGGCGGCGAAAGCGACUCUCUGGCCUAUAACUGACACUGAGUGUGCGAAAGCUAGGGGAGCAAACGGGAUUAGAUACCCCGGUAGUCCUAGCCGUAAACGAU
RNAcentral lists this ribosomal RNA (768 nucleotides) under uncultured Planctomycetota bacterium. Its description in RNAcentral is "bacterial SSU rRNA". It matches the Rfam family "Bacterial small subunit ribosomal RNA", at positions 64 to 810 of the family's 1533-position model. Lineage: Bacteria; Pseudomonadati; Planctomycetota. The record is from RNAcentral.